GAUGAACGCUCGCUACAGGCUUAACACAUGCAAGUCGAGGGGAAACGCUGAGAGAGCUUGCUCUCUUAGGCGUCGACCGGCGCACGGGUGAGUAACGCGUAUCCAACCUACCCAUUACAGGGGGAUAACCUUGCGAAAGUAAGACUAAUACCCCAUGGCAUUUUAUGGUGGCAUCAUUAUAGGAUUAAAGAUUUAUUGGUAAUGGAUGGGGAUGCGUCUGAUUAGCUUGUUGGCGGGGUAACGGCCCACCAAGGCAACGAUCAGUAGGGGUUCUGAGAGGAAGGUCCCCCACAUUGGAACUGAGACACGGUCCAAACUCCUACGGGAGGCAGCAGUGAGGAAUAUUGGUCAAUGGGCGAGAGCUUGAACCAGCCAAGUAGCGUGCAGGAGGACGGCCCUAUGGGUGGUAAACUGCUUUUAUAGGGGAAUAAAGUGAGCUACGUGUAGUUUAUUGCAUGUACCCUAUGAAUAAGGACCGGCUAAUUCCGUG
RNAcentral lists this ribosomal RNA (490 nucleotides) under uncultured bacterium. Its description in RNAcentral is "partial 16S ribosomal RNA". It matches the Rfam family "Bacterial small subunit ribosomal RNA", at positions 28 to 507 of the family's 1533-position model. The record is from RNAcentral.